This 431-nucleotide ribosomal RNA is filed under the name uncultured bacterium. RNAcentral describes it as "bacterial SSU rRNA". It matches the Rfam family "Bacterial small subunit ribosomal RNA", at positions 355 to 776 of the family's 1533-position model. The record is from RNAcentral.
UAGGGAAUAUUGCGCAAUGGACGAAAGUCUGACGCAGCGACACCGUGUGAAGGAUGAAGAUCCUCGGAUCGUAAACUUCUGUCAAUUGGGGACGAAGGUAUUUAGGGUUAAUAGCCUUAAGUAUUGACGGUACCCAAUAAGGAAGUCUCGGCUUACUCCGUGCCAGCAGCCGCGGUAAGACGGGGGAGGCAAGCGUUGUCCGGAAUUAUUGGGCGUAAAGAGCGCGUAGGUGGUUUAUCAAGUCAUUUGUGAAAACUUUAGGCUUAACUUAAAGAUUGCAAGUGAUACUGGUAUACUUGAGCACAGCAGAGGAAAGUGGAAUUCCUGGUGUAGCGGUGAAAUGCGCAGAUAUCAGGAAGAACACCAGUGGCGAAGGCGGCUUUCUGGGCUGUUGCUGACACUGAGGCGCGAAAGCUAGGGGAGCGAACAGG